GACCACGGGCUCCCAGCAUAUUCUGUGGGUUGUAAUCUGUGGCUGGUCAUUGCAGUAGCAUCAUCCUUGACAGAUCGUUAUUGAUUCUGAUGCUCGGACCCCCUCAGUUCGCUGCGUGGGGUGGGGGCCUUCAAGCGGCUUCUGGGUGCUUCUGACACGACCCCCUCACCCUUUGAGCUCAUCUGUGCUUUCCAACCGGAGAUGUUCCAGCCACAUCUUGGCCUUCCCCUGCUCCAGUCUGGAAUGAACCACUUCUCCAAGGAACCCUGAUUCCUUUUAGUGGAAAAUGAUGAUUGGAAACCAAGACCUGGGCACGUGGCGUGCUCACUGCUGCUGGCAUCCCUGCUCUGAGAAAACGGCUGCAAGCACAACAGCUAUGAAGACGCCAAGGCCUACGGGUUCAAGAACAAGCUGAUCAUCGUCUCGGCAGAGACGGCCGGCAACGGGCUGUACAACUUCAUCGUGCCACUGCGGGCCUACUACAGAUCCCGCAAGGAGCUGAACCCCAUCGUGCUGCUGCUGGACAACAAGUG
This 533-nucleotide long non-coding RNA is filed under the name Pan troglodytes (chimpanzee). RNAcentral's name for it is "long non-coding RNA NONPTRT017672". The record is from RNAcentral. Lineage: Eukaryota; Metazoa; Chordata; Mammalia; Primates; Hominidae.